UCCUGCUGUUAUGGAAUCUAGGAAAGAAUAUGCACAAUUAUACCUCUGCAUGGUGAGAGAUUGUUUUCAUAUUUGGAAUCUACAAUUAAUGUUUUGGUUACAAUAGAAUAAUCUUAGGAUGGUGCCAAGACUUGCUUUUACAAAAGAGAAGAUGAAGCUCGUAUAGUUAACAUUAACUUAAAAAAGAGAAAUUAGAAAGGACAAGCUUCAUCAUCAGCUCAAAAACGUGCCAACACC
Molecule: long non-coding RNA, 237 nt
Filed under: Elaeis guineensis (African oil palm)
Lineage: Eukaryota; Viridiplantae; Streptophyta; Magnoliopsida; Arecales; Arecaceae
Description: long non-coding RNA (EGUI_LNC017712)
Source: RNAcentral